RNAcentral lists this long non-coding RNA (5048 nucleotides) under Linum usitatissimum (flax). RNAcentral describes it as "long non-coding RNA (LUSI_LNC003605)". The record is from RNAcentral. Lineage: Eukaryota; Viridiplantae; Streptophyta; Magnoliopsida; Malpighiales; Linaceae.
CUGCAAAGUUGCUCGUCAAACUCUGAAACUAGAGGGUGUGAUGUUGAAGGGAAACUGUUGGAGCGAGCGUGGAAGGUGGUGGCUGCCAUUUUUUAUGUUUGCUGGUGAAUAUGAGAAAGAUGAGAGAAGUUUUUUCUCUUGAAAGCGUGAGAGAGUUAGAUGUAGAUGAGAUGAUAUGGCUGAUCACAACAGCAAGUUUAUAUAGAGGAUGAGAAAAAGGAGGAAGGCUGAAGAAUUGAAGGGAGCACCAAAGAGACAGGAGGAAUCAAAAGCUAAAGCAUAUUAUAUUUCCCAUGUGCAUUCUUCUGUGGGUUGAUGCAUAUGAUUUUGGAUCCAACAAAAUGCUAACAGUUUUGUCUAAGAAAUGUCCCUAGCCUACCAAAUACUCCAGCUCAUUUGUCCUCAGUUUAGUUCAUUGAUCAUUCAGGCAGUGAUGGAGCAAUGAAGGGAGGCAAGAUCCUUGUAUGCUGCUGCAACAUUGAAAUUGUUUAUUGCUUUCUUUCUGUCAUGUUUCUGAGAUUGGAAACUGUGGUUAUGGAACCAUGAACUUGAAAAAAAAUGGACAGCCACUCGAGUGCCUCUUAUAUUUCAUGUUUUAUAUUCAAGUGAAUAUAGCAGGUAUCAACAUUAUCUUCACCAAACAACUGGAUCAAAUUGCGGACCAGCAUGUCGGUAGCAGCUGACAUGAAGAUAGAAGCUGAUGACCCUUUUAGGCUUUUUCAGAUGUGAAGGUAUUUGAGCUGUGGAGUUGUGUUUGCUUCAAAUAUAAGAAAGUUGGUGCCUUUUAUGAGAUUUUCAGAUCAAACAGAAUCUCAACUCUUUAACUCAUAAUCCAUGGAAUAAGAUAUUGAUUCUCCCAACCUCCAAAAUCAUGGCUAAUUAAUGAACCACACGAGCAGGUAAUGGAAUAUUUAAUUCAUUCUCCUACCCCCAUGAAGAAUCUGUGAUUAAAUUAAUAUCCACUCGUGGCUGAAGGCAUCAUCUGUCUUUGGUAUUAAACUAUGACUUCAUCAUAUUGGAGCUUAACCAGUUGUGUCAACUAAUAUAGUUUCUGUUGAAGUUUUUUUAUCCAAAUUGUUAGAUUCAUAUCUUCCACCAUGAUUGCUUAUGUUAAUUAAACAGCAGUCAGAACACGCCGAAUCAUAGUCACCUUGAAUUUUUUGUUUUUCAAAUUUGUAGAAGAAGAGAAAUUUAUUUGAGUAAUUCCCAUGUUCUUGCCAGUUCAUCUCCAGGAUAAGCAUGCUGAAUGUAUACUGAUCUGAGGCAUUGUGACUAUACAUAAUCUGCACAGAUUCAACAAGUUGAUGUGUUAAUGGAGGGCAAGAUCCACUUAUUUAGAUUUCUAAACGUGUAUGAUCAGGCCCUUCUAAAAUGAAGGAAAACUUGAAAGAGAACGUGCUAAUGAUCCCUGACCAGAAGACAAGCCAGCAGUAUCCUUCAUUGCAUUUGAAUGUGUGAUGAGUAAUGAUCAUCUCUUAGCAUUAUUUAUUUGGAAUUUUCUAUCUUCCCAUGUGGCUGCUCCUUCAGUUUUUUCAUCAGUUCUAAAUCUUAGAAUGGAAGGGUAAUUAGUCCAGAUAAACUAUGAUCAGUAAUUAGUCCAGAUAACAGCGAAGAGAGACAGGAGUUUGCAGUAACUCGGAGACCAUGUAUAUUGAUGGAUUUGAGUAUCAAAAUUGUUUCUUUUCUACAACUGGUUCAUGUACAAGAAUGGCUAUCUACGGUAAUUUUACAGAUUGUGAACAUUGAGAAUGGAUGCUCUUGUUUUGAUGAGACACCUAAAGAGUGACUCAACUCCUUCUUCAAGAUCUUGAAUGCAUGGCUGCAAGUUUUUCAGUUGAGCUUGGAUUUCCUCAGUGGAUUUGCUCGUCUUCAAACAGGCAUCGACUUCAGCAAAUUCAUUUGAGUUUUCAGAAACUUGAGUCUUCUUGGAUGCAAUCAGCUUGGAAACCAAUGACCAGCUGCUUGACUUGGAGUUUGAUUGGCAAAUGAAACACAACAAGUUCUCCAACACCUCAAGAACAAUGGAUUCAGCUUCUCUUAACAUGUCGAUUGCAUCACCGUUGUUGGAUGAGGGGGGGUUCCUCUGAUUUCUUGGUUUCAUAACCCUUGAAGGCCUUUUGAAUUGCUUUCUUCACAAUCUUCCUUGAGUUGAGGUAUCUCUUGGUUUCUGCUGCCAGAUCGCCUUGCCUUCUGCGAAUGGCGGAUUGAAGUUCAUAAACCGAUUCUUUCAUUUGAGACAAGACAUCCUUGGCUGUGUUGCACAUAUCCAACACUCUCAAGGAACCAUCUAGCAGCUCAUUUUGGUCAUGGAUCAUGGCUUGUUGAGUUGAUGGGAGUUGAAUCAACUUGUCAACACACUCAUACACAUCCUGAAGGCCAUUAAGGUUUUGGCUAGUGGAUGAUGAUGAAGUGGAAGCAGCUUGAGAUUGUCUCAACCUGCAAAUUUGCUCGUCGAACUCGGAAACUAGAGGGUGUGUCCUUGAUGGGAAACUGUUUGAUCGAGCGUGGAAGGUGGUGGAUGCCAUUUUUUUUAUCUGAAUAGAAGAUGUGGAAGUUUUUGCCUCUUUUAUGUUUGAGGUUGAGAGAGGUUGAUGAAGAUGAGAUGAAAUGGCUUCACAACAACAAGUAUAUAUAGAGGAUGGGAACAAAGGAGGAAGGUUGAAGACUUGAAGGGGACAUAAAGAGACAGGAGGAAUCAAAGGCAAACCAUCUUAUUUUUCCAUGUGCAUUAUUAAGUUGUUUAUACAUAUGAUUUCGGAAUCCGGAUCCGAUAAUAUCUCAACAGUUUGGUCUAAGAAAUGCCCCCUGCCCACCAAAUGUUCCAGCUCAUUUGGCAUCAUUGUACGAUUGAAGCAGUGAUGGAGUAAUGAAGGGAGGCAAGAUCCUUGUAUGCUGCUGCUACAUUGAGUUUGUUUAUUACUUUUUUCUGUCAUGUUUCCUUGAAUGAUAUUAUUAAAUUUGUUUAUAGCAUAGGUUAGUGACUAAAAAGCAAGUCUCAGAAAAAUGGCAUAGGUUAGUGAAGCCCCACGAGUUCCUCAAGUCGAUAUCUACUGAUGAUGAGGCUAAAGAUUGGUAAUGAUCAACUUGGUUCUGAUUUCUUUAAUGCAACAGUGAGCUUUCUGUGUACCUUUUAUCUUUGAGGCUUCAUUUUGUUAAUGAAUAACGAUAAAACCUAUCUGAAUUCUCUCCUAACAACUCAAGUUAUUGGGAUGCAAUUUUUCAUGACACAUUCUGUUCAGGAAAUGCCAGGCUUAGGAUAGUUCAUUUGCACUAGAAACUGAAAUUAUUCAGAUGCAGAUUCAGAAGCCUUCUAAUGUGCGGAAUUGGAAUUAAUCUGCGAAAAUGCCAACCAUAAACCAAUAUAUCAAGGACUGUGGAGAUAGCUACUUUUUUUUCUUAAGCUUACCAUUUUUCAUUCGCAUUUAUCGUAUUUACUUACAUCCAGACUAACAGUUCAAGAUUUAAUGAUGAAGAUAGUAACAACACUCUAUGGAAUCAAUUUAUCUUGUUUGAAGGGUACAAUGUGCAUGUAACCAGCUGUGUAAGAAGAUAAGGGUGAAUCUUAUAGUUUCUAAACUAAUGGAAGCUUGGUUAGAGUGCCAGAUCAUCCCCACGAGUGCCCUUGAAUGCAGGCGUGCUAAGUGUCUGCUGAUCUGAUGCAUACAGAAUAAUAAACAGCAAAUGUUUUUGCGUUAAUGGAAGGCAAGAUCCACUAAGUUAGCUUCCUAAACGUGUUUUAGGAGCUUGUACUUGAUCCCUUACCAAAAGACAAGCCAUCACCAUUCUUCAUUGCAUUUGCAGGUUCUGACAUUGUUUAUUUGGCUUUGUCAGCCUCCCCAUGUGCAUGCCUUUGUUUAUUCAUCAGUUCAAAAAUGAUAUAAUUUUAGGUUAACCCAGAUUAAUGUCAUCUCUAGUUACUCACUUAUUGUUAUCUGCAUGCAAAAAAGUAAAUAACUUGGGACAGAAAGUGCAGUAAAGUAAAAGAGAGACACAUAGUUUAUCAGGAACUUGGAGUCAUGUAUAUUGAUGGAUUCACUAUUCACUACCAAAAUUGUUUCUUUACAGUUGGGAUCAUUUACAAGUAUGAUUUUUGAUGAUAUCAUUACAAGAUGUUGAGAAUGGAGGCUCUUGUUUUGAUGAGACACCUAAAGAGGGACUCAACUCCUUCCUCAAGAUCUUGAAUGCAUUGCUGCAAGUUUUUCAGAUGAGCUUGGACUUCCUCACUAGAUUUGCUUGUCUUCAUACAGGCAUCCACUUCUGCAAAUUCGUUUUCUGAUGCUGCAAUAACCCUUUUUUGGUUUGCCAUCAGCUUGGAGACCAAAGACCAGCUGUUUGACUUGGAGUUUGAUUGAGAAAUGAAUGACAACACGUUCUCCAACACCUCAACAACAACGGAUUCAGCUUCUCUUAACAUGUUGACUUUGUUGGAUGAGGUGGAUUUCUUGGUUUCCAUACCCUUCAAGGCCUUUUGGAUUGCUUUCUUCACAGCCUUCCUUGAGUUAAGAUAUCUUUUGGUUUCUGCUACCAGAUCUCUUUGCCUUCUACGAAUGGCAGACUGAAGUUCACAAACCGACUCUUUCGUUUGAGACAAGGCAUCCCUGGCUGUGUUGCAUAGAUCCAAGAGUCUUAGAGAUCCUUCUAAUAGCUCAUUUUGGUCAUGGAUCAUGGCUUGCUGAGUUGAUGGAAGUUGAAUCAACUUGUCAACACAGUCAUACACAUCCUGAAGGCCAUUGAGCUUGUGGCUUAUGGAAGAUGAUGAUGAUGAUGAUGUGGAAGCAGUUUGAGAUUGUCUCAACCUGCAAAGUUGCUCGUCGAACUCCGAAACUAGAGGGUGUGAUCUUGAUGGGAAACUGUUGGAUCGAGCGUGGAAGGUGGUGGCUGCCAUUUUUUUUAAUGUUUGGUGGUGAAGAAAGAUGAGAGAAGUUUUUGUGUUGAAGGUUGAGAGUGGUUGCUGUAGAUGAGAUGAAUAUGGCCUCUUAACAGAAAGAUUAUAUAGAGGAUAUGAAAAAGAGGAAGGUUGAAGGGACAUGAAAGGGACAGGAGGAAUC